UGAGCAAUCUGCCCUUCUCUUCGGAAUAAGCGUUGGAAACGACGUCUAAUGCCGAAUACGACCUCCUUUCGCAUGGUCCGGCCGGGAAAGGUCCGCCGGAGAGGGAUGGGCCCGCGGCCUAUCAGCUUGUUGGUGGGGUCAUGGCUCACCAAGGCGGCGACGGGUAGCUGGUCUGAGAGGACGACCAGCCACACUGGAACUGAGAUACGGUCCAGACUCCGUACGGGAGGCAG
RNAcentral lists this ribosomal RNA (233 nucleotides) under uncultured bacterium. Its description in RNAcentral is "partial 16S ribosomal RNA". It matches the Rfam family "Bacterial small subunit ribosomal RNA", at positions 118 to 351 of the family's 1533-position model. The record is from RNAcentral.